AACGAACGCUGGCGGCAGGCCUAACACAUGCAAGUCGAACGAGACCUUCGGGUCUAGUGGCGCACGGGUGCGUAACGCGUGGGAAUCUACCCUUGGGUUCGGAAUGACAGUUAGAAAUGACUGCUAAUACCGGAUGAUGACGUAAGUCCAAAGAUUUAUCGCCCAAGGAUGAGCCCGCGUAAGAUUAGCUUGUUGGUGGGGUAAUGGCCUACCAAGGCGACGAUCUUUAGCUGGUCUGAGAGGAUGAUCAGCCACACUGGGACUGAGACACGGCCCAGACUCCUACGGGGGGCUGCAGUGGGGAAUAUUGGACAAUGGGCGAAAGCCUGAUCCAGCAAUGCCGCGUGAGUGAUGAAGGCCUUAGGGUUGUAAAGCUCUUUUACCAGGGAUGAUAAUGACAGUACCUGGAGAAUAAGCUCCGGCUAACUCCGUGCCAGCCGCCGCCGUAA
Molecule: ribosomal RNA, 449 nt
Filed under: uncultured bacterium
Lineage: Bacteria
Description: partial 16S ribosomal RNA
Rfam family: Bacterial small subunit ribosomal RNA
Source: RNAcentral